AUGGCGAGCACCAGGCCAGGACGCUUGGCCGAGGUGACUCUGCCCAUUGGCUUCUUCGCUAGCCCGUGUCUGCACGUGUUCCUCGAUCCAACGAGCGUGUACAGCGGGCACGGGAAAGUCGAACGCGCCGACGCUCCUGUGUUCAGCAAUGUUAGCCCUACAGCCCCUAGGCUCACCACUGUCCUCCCAGGUCUAUCAGGUUCUAGACCGAGUGUGCUGAAACCUGCUCUCAGCUUGCCUACUAUCUCGGACGUGGGUAUUGAGUCUCAGACCGGGUCGAUUGGCAGCACGUCGUGUCCUGUGCAUGACUCACAACCCGCUCCUAGCAGUAAGUUUACAAUAAUCUGCGUUCUACACCAUAGUUCUCUCCAAUGAUGCUUAUGUU
Molecule: long non-coding RNA, 385 nt
Filed under: Oryza sativa Indica Group (long-grained rice)
Lineage: Eukaryota; Viridiplantae; Streptophyta; Magnoliopsida; Poales; Poaceae
Description: lncRNA OsMH63_02G039890
Source: RNAcentral